Molecule: unclassified non-coding RNA, 278 nt
Filed under: Hevea brasiliensis (rubber tree)
Lineage: Eukaryota; Viridiplantae; Streptophyta; Magnoliopsida; Malpighiales; Euphorbiaceae
Source: RNAcentral
CCGAAUGCUGAUCCGAGAAGUGCAUCGAGAUGAAAUACUUCCCAAAUUUCUCAAAAGAUUUUUCACCAAAAACCUGGUCAAGAACGGCUUCUGUGAUCAAAUCUGCAGCAACUUCCUUCGAUUCAGAAAUUACGCUCAACUCUUCAGGAACCCAUUUUCUACCACUGGGAGGCGUCAAAAUCCCAGCAAAUCUUUGCAUAUCCUUCAAAUCCUUUUGCAUUCCUUUGGCAGCUUUCUUCCUCGCCACGGCAAAGAUAAUAUGAUCCAUCGCAUCCGGG